Molecule: ribosomal RNA, 492 nt
Filed under: uncultured bacterium
Lineage: Bacteria
Description: partial 16S ribosomal RNA
Rfam family: Bacterial small subunit ribosomal RNA
Source: RNAcentral
AGUGAACGCUGGCGGUAGGCCUAACACAUGCAAGUCGAACGGCAGCACAGUAAGAGCUUGCUCUUACGGGUGGCGAGUGGCGGACGGGUGAGGAAUACAUCGGAAUCUACUUUUUCGUGGGGGAUAACGUAGGGAAACUUACGCUAAUACCGCAUACGACCUACGGGUGAAAGCAGGGGAUCUUCGGACCUUGCGCGAUUGAAUGAGCCGAUGUCGGAUUAGCUAGUUGGCGGGGUAAAGGCCCACCAAGGCGACGAUCCGUAGCUGGUCGGAGAGGAUGAUCAGCCACACUGGAACUGAGACACGGUCCAGACUCCUACGGUAGGCAGCAGUGGGGAAUAUUGGACAGUGGGCGCAAGCCUGGUCCAGCCAUCCCGCGUGUGUGAAGAAGGCCUUCGGGUUGUGAAGCCCUUUUGUUGGGAAAGAAAAGCAGCAGGUUAAUACCCCGCUGUUCUGACGGUACCCAAAGAAUAAGCACCGGCUAACUUCGUG